Molecule: ribosomal RNA, 909 nt
Filed under: Staphylococcus warneri
Lineage: Bacteria; Bacillati; Bacillota; Bacilli; Caryophanales; Staphylococcaceae
Description: bacterial SSU rRNA
Rfam family: Bacterial small subunit ribosomal RNA
Source: RNAcentral
UCGAGCGAACAGAUAAGGAGCUUGCUCCUUUGACGUUAGCGGCGGACGGGUGAGUAACACGUGGAUAACCUACCUAUAAGACUGGGAUAACUUCGGGAAACCGGAGCUAAUACCGGAUAACAUAUUGAACCGCAUGGUUCAAUAGUGAAAGGCGGCUUUGCUGUCACUUAUAGAUGGAUCCGCGCCGUAUUAGCUAGUUGGUAAGGUAACGGCUUACCAAGGCAACGAUACGUAGCCGACCUGAGAGGGUGAUCGGCCACACUGGAACUGAGACACGGUCCAGACUCCUACGGGAGGCAGCAGUAGGGAAUCUUCCGCAAUGGGCGAAAGCCUGACGGAGCAACGCCGCGUGAGUGAUGAAGGUCUUCGGAUCGUAAAACUCUGUUAUCAGGGAAGAACAAAUGUGUAAGUAACUGUGCACAUCUUGACGGUACCUGAUCAGAAAGCCACGGCUAACUACGUGCCAGCAGCCGCGGUAAUACGUAGGUGGCAAGCGUUAUCCGGAAUUAUUGGGCGUAAAGCGCGCGUAGGCGGUUUUUUAAGUCUGAUGUGAAAGCCCACGGCUCAACCGUGGAGGGUCAUUGGAAACUGGAAAACUUGAGUGCAGAAGAGGAAAGUGGAAUUCCAUGUGUAGCGGUGAAAUGCGCAGAGAUAUGGAGGAACACCAGUGGCGAAGGCGACUUUCUGGUCUGUAACUGACGCUGAUGUGCGAAAGCGUGGGGAUCAAACAGGAUUAGAUACCCUGGUAGUCCACGCCGUAAACGAUGAGUGCUAAGUGUUAGGGGGUUUCCGCCCCUUAGUGCUGCAGCUAACGCAUUAAGCACUCCGCCUGGGGAGUACGACCGCAAGGUUGAAACUCAAAGGAAUUGACGGGGACCCGCACAAGCGGUGGAGCAUGUGGUUUAAUUC